GUAGUACUCCCUCCGUCCGGAAAUACUUGUCAUCAAAAUGAAUAAAAGGGGAUGUAUCUAAAUGUCUAUUUGUUCUAGAUACAUCUUUUUUUAUCCAUUUUGGUGACAAGUAUUUUCGGACGGGGGGAGUACUUG
Molecule: non-coding RNA, 135 nt
Organism: Triticum aestivum (bread wheat)
Lineage: Eukaryota; Viridiplantae; Streptophyta; Magnoliopsida; Poales; Poaceae
Source: Rfam